Molecule: ribosomal RNA, 468 nt
Filed under: uncultured bacterium
Lineage: Bacteria
Description: partial 16S ribosomal RNA
Rfam family: Bacterial small subunit ribosomal RNA
Source: RNAcentral
GACGAACGCUGGCGGCGGGCUUAACACAUGCAAGUCGAACGGAAAGGCCCUGCUUUUGUGGGGUGCUCGAGUGGCGAACGGGUGAGGAACACGUGAGUAACCUGCUCUUGUCUUUGGGAUAACUUCAGGAAACUGGGGCUAAUACCGGAUAGGAGCUCCUGCUGCAGGGUGGGGGUGGGAAAGUCGCGGCUGGUGGGGCUGGACUCGCGGCUAAUCAGCUUGUUGGUGGGGGAGGGGCUGACCAAGGCUUUGACGGGUAGCCGGCCUGGGAGGGUGACCGGCCACAUUGGGCCUGAGAUACGGCCCAGACUCCUACGGGAGGCAGCAGUGGGGAAUAUUGCCCAAUGGGCGGAAGCCUGAUGCAGAGGCGCCGCGUGCGGGAUGACGGCCUUCGGGUUGUGAACCGCUUUCGCCUGUGACGAAGCGUGAGUGACGGUAAUGAGUAAAGAAGCACCGGCUAACUACGUG